RNAcentral lists this ribosomal RNA (350 nucleotides) under uncultured Anoxybacillus sp. Its description in RNAcentral is "bacterial SSU rRNA". It matches the Rfam family "Bacterial small subunit ribosomal RNA", at positions 1032 to 1382 of the family's 1533-position model. The record is from RNAcentral. Lineage: Bacteria; Bacillati; Bacillota; Bacilli; Caryophanales; Anoxybacillaceae.
UGACAGGUGGUGCAUGGUUGUCGUCAGCUCGUGUCGUGAGAUGUUGGGUUAAGUCCGCAACGAGCGCAACCCUCGACCUUAGUUGCCAGCAUUCAGUUGGGCACUCUAAGGUGACUGCCGGCUAAAAGUCGGAGGAAGGUGGGGAUGACGUCAAAUCAUCAUGCCCCUUAUGACCUGGGCUACACACGUGCUACAAUGGGCGGUACAAAGGGUCGCGAACCCGCGAGGGGGAGCCAAUCCCAAAAAGCCGCUCUCAGUUCGGAUUGCAGGCUGCAACUCGCCUGCAUGAAGCCGGAAUCGCUAGUAAUCGCGGAUCAGCAUGCCCGCGGUCGAAUACGUUCCCGGGCCUU